Small nucleolar RNA from Zingiber officinale, 84 nucleotides. RefSeq annotates it as small nucleolar RNA snoR14. The transcript has a single exon. NCBI's taxonomy places the organism in Eukaryota, Viridiplantae, Streptophyta, Magnoliopsida, Zingiberales, Zingiberaceae. The record is from RefSeq and is a predicted model, not a curated record.
AUGAAGUGAUGUGAAAUUUCAUGGUCUGUCAAUCCACUGAUUUUUCAUGAUGUUUCUCAUGAUAUCCCGACAGGUUCUGAUCAU